UACGUAGGGUGCAAGCGUUGUCCGGAAUUAUUGGGCGUAAAGAGCUCGUAGGCGGCUUGUUGCGUCGGCUGUGAAAUCCCGGGGCUUAACUCCGAGCGUGCAGCCGAUACGGGCAGGCUAGAGUCCGGUAGGGGAGACUGGAAUUCCUGGUGUAGCGGUGAAAUGCGCAGAUAUCAGGAAGAACACCCGUGGCUAAGGCGGCUCUCUAGUACGGUACUGACGCUGAGACGCGAAAGCGUGGGGAGCGAACAGG
RNAcentral lists this ribosomal RNA (253 nucleotides) under uncultured bacterium. RNAcentral describes it as "partial 16S ribosomal RNA". It matches the Rfam family "Bacterial small subunit ribosomal RNA", at positions 524 to 776 of the family's 1533-position model. The record is from RNAcentral.